RNAcentral lists this ribosomal RNA (470 nucleotides) under uncultured bacterium. RNAcentral describes it as "bacterial SSU rRNA". It matches the Rfam family "Bacterial small subunit ribosomal RNA", at positions 335 to 799 of the family's 1533-position model. The record is from RNAcentral.
ACUCCUACGGGAGGCAGCAGUGAGGAAUAUUGGUCAAUGGAGGAACUCUGAACCAGCCAUCCCGCGUGUAGGAAGACGGCCUUAUGGGUUGUAAACUACUUUUAUACAGGAAGAAACGUACCCUCGUGAGGGUGCCUGACGGUACUGUAGGAAUAAGCACCGGCUAACUCCGUGCCAGCAGCCGCGGUAAUACGGAGGGGUGCGAGCGUUAUCCGGAUUUAUUGGGGUUUAAAGGGGUCCGUAGGCGGAUUAAUAAGUCAGUGGUGAAAUCCCAUCGCUUAACGAUGGAACUGCCAUUGAUACUGUUAGUCUUGAAUGAGGGUGCAGUGGUUGGAAUGUGUAGUGUAGCGGUGAAAUGCAUAGAUAUUACACAGAACACCGAUUGCGAAGGCAGAUCACUAACCCUAAAUUGACGCUGAGGGACGAAAGCGUGGGGAGCGAACAGGAUUAGAUACCCUGGUAGGAUAGCG